Molecule: non-coding RNA, 83 nt
Organism: Triplophysa dalaica
Lineage: Eukaryota; Metazoa; Chordata; Actinopteri; Cypriniformes; Nemacheilidae
Source: the annotation of a RefSeq genome assembly
ACCAGGAUGGCUGAGUGGUUAAGGAGUUGGACUUAAGAUCCAAUGAAUGAAUAUCCGUGUGGGUUCAAACCCCACUCCUGGUA